RNAcentral lists this ribosomal RNA (355 nucleotides) under uncultured bacterium. RNAcentral's name for it is "partial 16S ribosomal RNA". It matches the Rfam family "Bacterial small subunit ribosomal RNA", at positions 338 to 710 of the family's 1533-position model. The record is from RNAcentral.
CCUACGGGAGGCAGCAGUGGGGGAUAUUGCACAAUGGGGGAAACCCUGAUGCAGCGACGCCGCGUGAGUGAUGAAGUAUUUCGGUAUGUAAAGCCCUAUCAGCAGAGAAGAAAAUGACAGUAUCUCACCAAGAAGCCCCGGCUAACUCCGUGCCAGCAGCCGCGGUAAUACGUAGGGGGCAAGCGUUAUCCGGAUUUACUGGGUGUAAAGGGUGCGUAGGCGGGUAUGUAAGUCAGGAGUGAAAGCCUGGAGCUUAACCACGGGACUGCUUUGGAAACUGUGUGUCUGGAGUGCGGGAGGGGCAGGCGGAAUUCGUGGUGUAGGGGUGAAAUGCGUAGAUAUCAGGAGGAAUACU